Molecule: ribosomal RNA, 563 nt
Filed under: Myxozyma vanderwaltii
Lineage: Eukaryota; Fungi; Ascomycota; Lipomycetes; Lipomycetales; Lipomycetaceae
Description: eukaryotic LSU rRNA
Rfam family: Eukaryotic large subunit ribosomal RNA
Source: RNAcentral
AAACCAACAGGGAUUGCCUUAGUAACUGCGAGUGAAGCGGCAAGAGCUCAAAUUUGAAAUCUGGCAUCCGCCCGAAUUGUAAUUUGUAGAAGCAACUUUUGAAUUAGUCCUUGCAUAUGUUCCUUGGAACAGGACAUCAUAGAGGGUGAGAAUCCCGUUCAUGGUGGGGAGUCUAAUUCUUUGUAAAGUGCUUUCGACGAGUCGAGUUGUUUGGGAAUGCAGCUCUAAGUGGGUGGUAAAUUCCAUCUAAAGCUAAAUAUUGGCGAGAGACCGAUAGCGAACAAGUACAGUGAUGGAAAGAUGAAAAGUACUCCGAAAGGAGAGUGAAAUAGGACGUGAAAUUGUUAAAAGGGAAGUGCUUGAGAUCAGUGAUAGAGUUUAGUGAUCAGCUUUCUUUUUAGUUUGUGCACUUGCUAUUCUCUAGGCCAGCAUCAGUUUGGGAGGUAGGAUAAUUGCAUAGGAAUGUGGCUGUUUCGGCAGUGUUAUAGCCUGUGUCGAUACUACUUGCCAGACUGAGGACCGCGCAUUUUUGCUAGGAUGUUGGCAUAAUGAUCUUAAGCAGC